GAUGAACGCUAGCGGCAGGCUUAAUACAUGCAAGUCGAGGGGCAGCAGGGUGUAGCAAUACAUCGCUGGCGACCGGCAAACGGGUGCGGAACACGUACACAACUUUCCUUUAAGUGGGGAUAGCCCAGAGAAAUUUGGAUUAAUACCCCGUAAUAUUAUGAAGUGGCAUCAUUUUAUUAAUUAUAGCUCCGGCGCUUGAAGAUGGGUGUGCGGCUGAUUAGGUAGNGGUCAGGGUAAUGGCCUACCAAGACGAUGAUCUGUAU
RNAcentral lists this ribosomal RNA (263 nucleotides) under uncultured bacterium. RNAcentral describes it as "partial 16S ribosomal RNA". It matches the Rfam family "Bacterial small subunit ribosomal RNA", at positions 28 to 286 of the family's 1533-position model. The record is from RNAcentral.